GGUACAUCUCAACCAUUUAUAGCACGAGUACUCAGAGUACUGGUGAUUUUUUUCUCAAUCACCUUUCCUUUCACCAGCUAAGAUUUGUUUUCAUUCCUCGGCUUUCUUAUUCCACUUUUCAGGGUGGUCAACCGUUUGCAGAUCACACUGGCUUACGUUCAUCGGUUCAGGCUUGAUCUCAUAUAGGUAAUUCCUUGCAUUAACUCGUCCAUUGCAAUGCGAUCUGCAGCGCCGCCGAGAAGAAUCAUAACCAGCCUUUUUAGCUCUUCAAGUUUCUGAAGAUGAUCUAUAUGAGAUAAGACAAGGUCAAAGGUUAAAUAAAUGCAGCCGCGGAAGGCAGAUGGCAUGAGUUUUCCCAUCCAAAGCAUUCGAGACGACUGUUACACAGCACAGAUCCUUAGUUGAUUCGAAUGCGUUCAGGCUAUAGACCUCAACGGGGUUCCCAUCCAAUAAUGAGAGUGCAGCGGCUUGUUUGCUUUUUACAGAUCAAAGAUGGAAUCCGUUAUUACUAUUCCAUAUGAGAAAAUUAGAGGUAUUUUUUUCUUUUCAUGAACCUAGGCUGGAUAUUAGAGAAUUAAUACAUAGCUAUUAUUUAUCAUGCUCCAUAUUACCCUCUCAUAGCCUGAGGGAG
RNAcentral lists this small RNA (631 nucleotides) under Histoplasma ohiense. RNAcentral's name for it is "hypothetical lncRNA". Lineage: Eukaryota; Fungi; Ascomycota; Eurotiomycetes; Onygenales; Ajellomycetaceae. The record is from RNAcentral.